Molecule: ribosomal RNA, 417 nt
Filed under: uncultured bacterium
Lineage: Bacteria
Description: bacterial SSU rRNA
Rfam family: Bacterial small subunit ribosomal RNA
Source: RNAcentral
UAUUGGUCAAUGGGCGGGAGCCUGAACCAGCCAAGUCGCGUGAGGGAAGACGGUCCUAUGGAUUGUAAACCUCUUUAGGCGGGGAGCAAUGCCGGGCACGCGUGCCCGGAGGGAGAGUACCCGCAGAAUAAGCAUCGGCUAACUACGUGCCAGCCGCCGCGGUAAUACGGGGGAGGCGAGCGUUAUCCGAAUUUAUUGGGUUUAAAGGGUGCGUAGGCGGAUUCUUAAGUCAGCGGUAAAAUGUCCGGGCUCAACCCGGGCCGGCCGUUGAAACUGGGGGUCUUGAGUGGGCGAGAAGUAUGCGGAAUGCGUGGUGUAGCGGUGAAAUGCAUAGAUAUCACGCAGAACUCCGAUUGCGAAGGCAGCAUACCGGCGCCCUACUGACGCUGAGACACGAAAGCGUGGGGAUCGAACAGA